RNAcentral lists this long non-coding RNA (1119 nucleotides) under Macaca fascicularis (crab-eating macaque). RNAcentral describes it as "lncRNA (ENSMFAG00000050444.1)". Lineage: Eukaryota; Metazoa; Chordata; Mammalia; Primates; Cercopithecidae. The record is from RNAcentral.
GGGAUGGAAUAUUGUUGAGUGGAAUUUUAAGCUUUUAGGAAGAGAUAGAAAUGAUGUAGAACUACAUUAUCCUUUCUCAUUCUGAAGAAGUUUGAUUAUUGAAGAGAACAGGGCAGAGACUAAGGAGAGAAACUUAUGGUAAAACCUUGUAAAUUCCAAGGCUCCCUGUAACUCCCUACUCAUCUUGAGCACUUCCUUUAUAUCCAUUUAUUCAUUAAAGCAUGCUAAGUGCCAACAUCCAAGCUAGGUACUGGGAAUUAACAGAGAGUUUCGAUUCAAACAGACAUGUGUUUAUGAUGAGGUUAAGUGCAGCAGGCUUUGUGGGUGUUAAGAUGGGCCCCUGGCCUGGAGGAGCCAGGGAAGGAGGUUUCCCAGAGGACAUGGAAAUCUGGCUUGGAUGGCAGGUGAGGCAGAAGGAGGGAAUCGGGACUCCAGUUGAGGUGGACGUCUCAGAGAGUGUGUUUAAAGGCCUCAAAGGGAAAGUAUGGUGUAUUCCUGGGGUGGUGAGACCAUACUGGGGGUCCUAGGCUGCUCCAAUGUUUAAAAGAAAGAUACCUUUUCAGAAGACUGAAAAGAAUGUAAGUCAAUACCUGAAUGUUAUUUAAUAUUGUCUAGGUAGAGAAUAAAGGAGUCAGUAGAAUUACCAUUUGGGCUGGGCACGGUGGCUCAUGUCUGUAAUUCCAGCACUUUGGGAAGCCGAGGUGGGCGGAUCUCUUGAGUUCAGGGGUUCGAGACCAGCCUGGCCAAUAUGGUGAAACCCAGUCUCUACUAAAAAUACAAAAAGUAUCCAGGUGUGGUGGCACAUGCCUGCAAUUCCAGCUACUUGGGAGGCUGAGACAAAAGAAUUGCUUGAACCCAGGAGGCAGAUGUUACAGUCAGCCAAGAUUGUGCCACUGCACUCCAGUCUGGGUGACAGAGCAAGACUCUAUCCAAAAUAAAAUAAAAUAAUAAUUACCAUUUGGCUGCUGUCUCUAAGGGUCCUGACAUUUCUAUUAGAUUCCUUCUAUAAAGAAUUGAGCCAGGUGUGAUGCUUACGUUAGGCUGCAGCGAGCUGCAAUUGUGCCACUGCAUUCCAGCCUGGGCACCAGAGUAAGGCCCUGUCUCAAAAAAAAAAAAAAA